GACAGCCAGGAUGUUGGCUUAGAAGCAGCCAUCAUUUAAAGAAAGCGUAAUAGCUCACUGGUCGAGUCGGCCUGCGCGGAAGAUGUAACGGGGCUAAACCAUGCACCGAAGCUGCGGCAGCGACACUUAUGUGUUGUUGGGUAGGGGAGCGUUCUGUAAGCCGUCGAAGGUGUGCUGUGAGGCAUGCUGGAGGUAUCAGAAGUGCGAAUGCUGACAUAAGUAACGAUAAAGCGGGUGAAAAGCCCGCUCGCCGG
Molecule: ribosomal RNA, 254 nt
Filed under: Pantoea agglomerans
Lineage: Bacteria; Pseudomonadati; Pseudomonadota; Gammaproteobacteria; Enterobacterales; Erwiniaceae
Description: partial 23S ribosomal RNA
Rfam family: Bacterial large subunit ribosomal RNA
Source: RNAcentral